AAGUCGUAACAAGGUUUCCGUAGGUGAACCUGCGGAAGGAUCAUUAACACAAUUAUGAUACUAUAUCAACCCAUGUGAACUGUUGCCCCUCAGGUGCUGAAUCUCGGGAAUGAGAGGAGCAGAUGGCUAUGGUAGAGUUGCUAUCUAUUUUCUAAUAGAUAGUAACAGGCCGCUGCUUCGAUCUAUCUGUUAACGCAGACUCGAGCCACUUGAGGCUUUCUUUCAACUCAGUCUCUGCCAUGACUGUGUCUCUUUUUCCUUUUUUCACCCCUGACUUAAUUGAACUGAUGAAAGGAAGCAUCUGUUUCCUUUUAACGCGAGUCCUUCUUAGCAAGGGCGAGCAAUAUUAAUUAAAACACAACUCUUAACAGCGGAUAUCUCGGCUCCC
This 388-nucleotide unclassified non-coding RNA is filed under the name fungal sp. Its description in RNAcentral is "partial internal transcribed spacer region". The stretch from base 1 to 46 matches the Rfam family "Eukaryotic small subunit ribosomal RNA", at positions 1786 to 1831 of the family's 1831-position model. Lineage: Eukaryota; Fungi. The record is from RNAcentral.